Molecule: long non-coding RNA, 341 nt
Filed under: Setaria italica (foxtail millet)
Lineage: Eukaryota; Viridiplantae; Streptophyta; Magnoliopsida; Poales; Poaceae
Description: long non-coding RNA (SITA_LNC003641)
Source: RNAcentral
CGGACCUGUUCAAGGUCAAGACCGUCCGCGGCGUCGCGCCGGCGCUCAAGCUGCAGCUCAUCGUCUCCACCGCGCUGAUGACUGUCGCCGCACUCGUCGUGUCGUUCGCCGCGCUCCCCGCCAGGUUCACCAUGUUCGACUUCGGGGAGGUGAAGCAAGUCAAGAACUGGUAAGAAAUGAUGCAGUACGUCCUCGCUCACUGAUGGAAACCUUACCUGAGAACUGCAUAUGCCUUACUGACUUAAGCAAUGGCAAAUUGGCAAUGGCAGGCACCUGUUCUUCUGCGUCGCCAUCGGGCUGUGGGCCGGUCUCGCCAUCGGAUUCACCACCGAGUACUUCAC